RNAcentral lists this ribosomal RNA (485 nucleotides) under Acropoma japonicum. RNAcentral describes it as "partial 16S ribosomal RNA". It matches the Rfam family "Bacterial large subunit ribosomal RNA", at positions 157 to 993 of the family's 2925-position model. The record is from RNAcentral. Lineage: Eukaryota; Metazoa; Chordata; Actinopteri; Acropomatiformes; Acropomatidae.
GCCAAACAGCUAGCCCUCCCCAUCUAAAAACAACAAAUCAUUAUUAAUAACCCCAAAUGCACAACCCAUUAAUAAACAAACCAUUUUUCCCCCUCAGUAUGGGCGACAGAAAAGGACCUAGGAGCAACAGAGAAAGUACCGCAAGGGAAAGCUGAAAGAGAAAUGAAAAAACCCCUUAUAAGCCUAAAAAAGCAGAGUUUUAACCUCGUACCUUUUGCAUCAUGUUUUAGCCAGUAAUCCUCAAGCAAAGUGCACUUUAGUUUGAUACCCCGAAACUAAGUGAGCUACUCCAAGACAGCCUUAUGUAGGGCGACCCCGUCUCUGUUGCAAAAGAGUGGGAAGAGCUUUGAGUAGAGGUGACAGACCUACCGAACCUAGUUAUAGCUGGUUGCCUGAGAAUUGGAUAGAAGUUCAGCCUCCCCGCUUCUCCCCUCAACCAACUAUCUACCUCUGACCCCUGAGAAGCCGCGAGGAGUUAGUCAAAG